Molecule: ribosomal RNA, 449 nt
Filed under: uncultured bacterium
Lineage: Bacteria
Description: partial 16S ribosomal RNA
Rfam family: Bacterial small subunit ribosomal RNA
Source: RNAcentral
AACGAACGCUGGCGGCAUGCCUAAUACAUGCAAGUCGAACGAGAUCUUCGGAUCUAGUGGCGCACGGGUGCGUAACGCGUGGGAAUCUGCCCUUUGGUUCGGAAUAACUUCUGGAAACGGAAGCUAAUACCGGAUGAUGACGUAAGUCCAAAGAUUUAUCGCCAGAGGAUGAGCCCGCGUAGGAUUAGCUAGUUGGUGAGGUAAAGGCUCACCAAGGCUACGAUCCUUAGCUGGUCUGAGAGGAUGAUCAGCCACACUGGGACUGAGACACGGCCCAGACUCCUACGGGAGGCAGCAGUAGGGAAUAUUGGACAAUGGGCGCAAGCCUGAUCCAGCAAUGCCGCGUGAGCGAUGAAGGCCUUAGGGUUGUAAAGCUCUUUUACCCGGGAUGAUAAUGACAGUACCGGGAGAAUAAGCCCCGGCUAACUCCGUGCCAGCAGCAGCCGCCG